Molecule: ribosomal RNA, 253 nt
Filed under: uncultured bacterium
Lineage: Bacteria
Description: partial 16S ribosomal RNA
Rfam family: Bacterial small subunit ribosomal RNA
Source: RNAcentral
UACGUAGGGAGCAAGCGUUGUCCGGAAUCAUUGGGCGUAAAGCGCGCGUAGGUGGCCAUUUAAGUCCGCUGUGAAAGUCAAAGGCUCAACCUUUGAAAGCCGGUGGAUACUGGAUGGCUAGAGUACGGAAGAGGCGAGUGGAAUUCCUGGUGUAGCGGUGAAAUGCGCAGAUAUCAGGAAGAACACCCGUGGCUAAGGCGGCUCUCUAGUACGGUACUGACGCUGAGACGCGAAAGCGUGGGGAGCGAACAGG